Molecule: long non-coding RNA, 1407 nt
Organism: Musa acuminata AAA Group (dessert banana)
Lineage: Eukaryota; Viridiplantae; Streptophyta; Magnoliopsida; Zingiberales; Musaceae
Exons: 3
Source: RefSeq, a predicted model, not a curated record
GAUCGGGAGGUCAUGGUGCGAGCCGAUCCCCCUUUCUCCGCAUCUGUCCUCCUCUCCGACCUCUCGCCACCGCCAUCGUCCUCGAAACUCUCUGCUAGAAGAUCUCUCCACGGCGACGCCUCACGUUCUUCCUCCGGUCGCCCGACGCCUUCGUCAUCUACGGGCGGACGAACUGGUGGGCGCAGUGCUGGGAGUCAGUACGAGUUCCAAGAUCGAUGUCCAAGAUCCAUCUUGGACAUGUUGGUCCGGGAUCAACGUUCUCUUCCUAUACCAGAGUAAAGAUUGGGGCUAGAAGAAGACGCGACAGAAUGCAGUCUCGAUUGAGGAUCAUCAUGCUUGAUCAUAAAUGGAGAUACAACAUUUGGUAGCUCCGACGAGAGGAACCAUGUUUGUGCUCUUAACUCGGCUAUACAUCAUGAUCCUUUCACUUUUACAUUGUUGCAUGCGCAUAAUUCGAAUUAUAUAAGUUCUUUAGCUUUAGAGAUUAGGGGUUCUUGAAGCUCAACAAUAAAGAUUAUUUCGUGCAUAAUAUUGAGGAAGCAUUAGUUCCGCAGUAGAAGGCGAUGUUUGUUCGGAUAAUAACAGAACGUAGUAUAGCACAUCGAACUAAAAUUCCAGAUGUUGUUUUGGCUGAUAACAUGACCUAUCAUAGUUCGGAGCCCUAUGAUAGAUAACAUGAGAAUGUGUACGAGUACUUCACCAUGGAGGAUUCAGGUCUAUUAUGAGAGAUGAGAUUUAGGCAAAACAAAUUAAGGAAUUCUAUCAGUGUGAAGUGGAUUCUGAAAGAUUUCUAUUUCUGAAAACGAAACAGAGACGAUAUAGGGAGGGAAAUUCCUCUAAUGAUCGAAGACAUACCGACUGUAUCCGUCUUGAUGAUCGUUUGCUUGAUGUUUGGUAGUUCUGCAAUGUUGUGUUUCCAUGGGCAUUACGCAAAAUAAUUUUCAAGAAAGUAUUGCCCGGACGAAAAUGGAGCAUUAACAAAACUUUUGUUAAUUAAGCCUAUGUUUGAUGUUUGUAGAUAGGAGAUCGAUUAUUACCACUCUGAAUAGAACAGCUGACAUCUCAUCCCACUUCAUGCAUAAAUUAUACUUUUGUUUUUCUGAUGCAGCUGUUUCUCUUUUGUGGACAGAAACUAAUUGUUCUGUUGUUCAACAAAACUUUGAUGGAAUAAUUAGCCACGGAGUUUACUUCUUUCUUUUGCAUUCAUCUCGAGUCGCUGACUUAUGUUUUGGUGAGAAGAUGGGAUCAGAGCAGGGUGGUACGUUGCACAUGAAAACUUGGAGUUGGUAGUAAGUUCCCCUCCUUUAUGGAUUAAUGGUAUGCAUUCGGGCAAUCCCUUUUCUUGUGAACUAUGAGUAUUUUGAAUCAGGGAGAUGAGACGUUUCUAAAUGACCAGAUUUCUCUGCA